AUGGCAGAGCAAAAUUCAUGACCCACAGCCGCCUCUUGCCAAACCGCACUGGAUUUUGUGUCUCCCAUUCCCCAGAGCUGUCUGAGGUGCUUUG
Molecule: microRNA precursor, 94 nt
Organism: Cebus imitator (Panamanian white-faced capuchin)
Lineage: Eukaryota; Metazoa; Chordata; Mammalia; Primates; Cebidae
Source: Ensembl